UACAGAGGGUGCGAGCGUUAAUCGGAAUUACUGGGCGUAAAGCGUGCGUAGACGGUUUCGUAAGUCGGGUGUGAAAUCCCCGGGCUCAACCUGGGAACUGCAUUUGUGACUGCAUGGCUCGAGUGCGGCAGAGGGGGAUGGAAUUCCGCGUGUAGCAGUGAAAUGCGUAGAUAUGCGGAGGAACACCGAUGGCGAAGGCAAUCCCCUGGGC
This 211-nucleotide ribosomal RNA is filed under the name uncultured prokaryote. RNAcentral describes it as "partial 16S ribosomal RNA". It matches the Rfam family "Bacterial small subunit ribosomal RNA", at positions 524 to 734 of the family's 1533-position model. The record is from RNAcentral.